AUCAGUAUGCUAUAGCAAAAUUUUCCCAAAGUUUUUAGAUGGUGCCGAAAACUCUUGCUGAAAAUGCGGGGCUUAAUUCAAUGGAGAUAAUAUCUUACGUAUAUGCUGAACAUGCAGCUGGGAAAACCAAAGUUGGCAUUGACUUGGAGGGAAAUGUUUGCAAAGAUGUAUCAACUUUAUAAUUUUGGGACCUUCAUGUUACUAAGUUCUUUGCUCUUAAGUAUGCUUCAGAUGCUGCCUGCGCUGUACUACGAGUAGAUCAAGGGUUACUCUACUGCCAUGGACAGGUGUUGGCAACCUGUGGCCCCGAGUGGUGUUGAUUAACCUCUGUGUGUUUGCUCUGGAGGACAGUUUGCUCCUUUGAGAAAGAGUGAGAGAGGGAGAGGAUGAAAGGGAAUCGGUUCUAGAAGCUGAGACUGUGAGAGCGAAGAAAUUUUGGAGCUUUUGAAAUAUGACAGAGGAGGAAUGCAGUUGGAGAUAGGGCUGAUGUAGAGGAUCAACCUCCUGCGAUUUUCAUUCUUCUUUCGUCAGCUGUUGUCAAGGUUAAGUCAAGAAUAAUGGGAGAUUCUUUUUCUUACAAAAGCAUGAUUGAUUGCUUUGUUAAAACUUUGAAGAAUCAUAUUUGUUGUUUUGCGGGGACCUUUGGCCUUUUAUAAGGGUUUCAUCCCAAAUUUUGGACGCCUAGGAUCUUGGAAUGUGAUCAUGUUUCUAACCUUUGAGCAGGGAUUGACUUCUUGGAAUUUAAACCUUAAGAGGUCGCAGCAGCAGCGGCCUGGCAGGAGGAAGCAAAGCAUUAGAUCACACUGAGAAUGCAAUCUCUGUGCUCAUCCAACAUGUAGACUUAGAAAAGGUUGAAGGUAUGAGAUUGAUAAUCCAUAACUUGGGAAGGUUCUUCUCACACAGGGACGUUAGGUUUGCUCAGUCUAAAAGAGCCUGCUAUUUUGUUGCAUUGUCGGAAAGAUGAACUGCAUCAGGUGGAGUCUGUUCUGUAAGCAGCAGCACAGGAAUAUGCGGAGAAAAGAGAUGUUCAUGCACCAGAGAUCAUAGUUGACCACACUGUCUAUCUUCCACCUGCUCCCACCCAUCAAAAUCCCCAUGUUAAUUCCGGUUCUGGAGGUGUAGUCUUGGCUUCUCGAGAUGGAAAAAUUGUGUGUGAGAACACUCUCUAUGCACCGUUGUGUUAGUAUAGUGUUGGCAUUCCUUCUUCACAAAUCUCUACUCCUUAAGAAGCCCAAGGUUGCAGCCCAAGCCCAUACAUGUUUAAAUACAUUUGUUGUAGUUGACUUUGUUGUCUUGCUGUCAAAGACCCAUGUGAAGACUGGAAGAUCAGUUUUGCUGUCAGCUUCCCCAUCUUAGCAUAAUUGUAUAAUUGCAAUUGUUUCUUUUGUGUGGCUGCCUUGCUCUCGAAAGCCAAAGACCAUCUUUGAAGAAUAUAGUUCAAUUUCAACUUGCAACCUCAUCUCAGUUUGCUGCCUUGUUGUCUUGUCCAAGAUCAAGCUUAAAUCUUGAAGAUCAAAAGAAGACCCAUCUUCAUCUUGGCUCCGGUAAGCUCAUGCAUGGCAUCUCUUUCACUAAACCAUGGGUUUUUCAUGGGUUCCCUUCUUGUGUCAGUUUUGAUUAUGGAGCUUGAGUGUUUUGGGUUCUUGAAUUGGUAUUCCCAAUUGAAAUUAGGAGCAUGGGUUUACAUGGGCAAUCUGAAAUUAUGGGUAUGGGUUUACCUACUCCAAUUGAGAUUAAGGGUUCUUUGAGUGAACUGUCCCUUCUCUUCUUCCUCUAUAUAUAUGUGUUCUCUGUUCCAUUUCGGUGAUUGAAAAUACUUUUGUGUUUCAGUCCCUUUGUUUAUCAAGAGUUUAUCUCUUUGGUUUUCUGUUUUUCAAAAUGUCUUGUUCCAUGUUGAAAACAAUUUGAAAAACACAAAACCAUUCAUGCAUAUUCAUCUCUUGCAUCCCAUGAGUUCAGUUGGGAAUUGUAAGCUUCAAAGGUGAAAUCUCCAAGUCGAACUUGCUGCGUUCAUAGCUUGUGUCAUAGUUGAGAUUUCUGAGUUGUUCACUUGUGUAAACAAUUAGCAAGGAGUGAUUACAACAGUCUAGUGAGUUAGUCUAGGAGGAUUGCCGCGUCAGUGCAAUCCAAGUGUUGUAAACUUGUAAUCUGUUUCAUUAGUGACUUGGUUUUGGU
Rosa rugosa (rugosa rose) is the source of this 2175-nucleotide long non-coding RNA. RefSeq lists it as uncharacterized. The record is from RefSeq and is a predicted model, not a curated record. The transcript is spliced from 10 exons. NCBI's taxonomy places the organism in Eukaryota, Viridiplantae, Streptophyta, Magnoliopsida, Rosales, Rosaceae.